Molecule: ribosomal RNA, 707 nt
Filed under: uncultured Alphaproteobacteria bacterium
Lineage: Bacteria; Pseudomonadati; Pseudomonadota; Alphaproteobacteria
Description: bacterial SSU rRNA
Rfam family: Bacterial small subunit ribosomal RNA
Source: RNAcentral
CAGUAGCAAUACUGAGUGGCAGACGGGUGAGUAACAUGUGGGAAUCUGCCUUGUGGUUCAGGACAACAUUGGGAAACCGAUGCUAAUACUGGAUAAGCCCUUACGGGGAAAGUUUUAAUGCCAUAAGAUGAGCCCGCAUUUGAUUAGUUAGUUGGUGAGGUAAUGGCUUACCAAGACAAUGAUCAAUAGCUGAUCUGAGAGGAUGAUCAGCCACACCGGGACUGAGACACGGCCCAGACUCCUACGGGAGGCAGCAGUGGGGAAUCUUGCACAAUGGAGGAAACUCUGAUGCAGCGAUGCCGCGUGAGUGAAGAAGGCCUUUGGGUUGUAAAGCUCUUUUGUAGGGGAAGAUAAUGACUGUACCCUAAGAAUAAGGUCCGGCUAACUUCGUGCCAGCAGCCGCGGUAAUACGAAGGGACCUAGCGUAGUUCGGAAUUACUGGGCGUAAAGCGCGCGUAGGCCGUUGAGUUAGUUAAUUGUGAAAUCCCAAAGCUUAACUUUGGAACUGCAAUUAAAACUGCUCGACUAGAGUUUGAUAGAGGAAAGCGGAAUACAUAGUGUAGAGGUGAAAUUCGUAGAUAUUAUGUAGAACACCAGUUGCGAAGGCGGCUUUCUGGAUCAACACUGACGCUGAGGCGCGAAAGUAUGGGUAGCAAAGAGGAUUAGAUACCCUCGUAGUCCAUACCAUAAACGAUGAUUGCUAGAUG